This 433-nucleotide ribosomal RNA is filed under the name uncultured bacterium. RNAcentral describes it as "partial 16S ribosomal RNA". It matches the Rfam family "Bacterial small subunit ribosomal RNA", at positions 29 to 507 of the family's 1533-position model. The record is from RNAcentral.
AACGAACGCUGGCGGCAUGCCUAAUACAUGCAAGUCGAACGAGAGCUUUGGGUCUAGUGGCGUUGGGGUGCGUAAGGAGUGGGAAGCUGCACUUAGGCUAGGAAUAACUCCCCGAAAGGGGUGCUAAUAGCGGAUAAUGUCAUUGGACGAAAGAUUUGUGGACUUUGGAUGGGACUGAGUUAGAUUGGCUAGUUGGUAGGGUAAAAGCCUACGAAGGCGACGUUCCAUAGCUGGUCUGAGAGGAUGAUCAGCCACACUGGGACUGCGGCACGGCCCAGAAGCCUACGUGAGGCAGCAGUGGGGAAUAUUAGACAAUGGGCUAAAGUCUGAUCCAGCAGUGCCGCGUGAGUAAUGAAGUCCUUAGAGUGAAAAAACGCUUUUACCCGAGAUGUUAAUGACGGUACCGGGAGAAUAAGCUCCGGCUAACUCCGUG